AAAGCUAAAGGGGCUGGCACCGCAGCAGGGGUGCGGAGAGGGACUGGGGGCGGGUGAGUACUGCUCCCGCAGCUCUGCUGGCCCUCUCUCUGCCCCGAGCUGUGCCUGGACAAUCCUCCUCGUCCUCCCGGCCCCCGCUCGCCAAUGCUGUGGCCUGCACCUGCAUCGCUCUCUGGGAACCUCGGAGACCUCAACUCCUUCGUACUGGUCUUACCCCUUCGUACUGGUCGGGGUUUACUGCAGGUCCACCUCCCCUAGGCCAUGGCCAGGUGGGGGAAGGUCACUCCAGGACGCUAGUGACUCUGCCCAGCUCUGCUCCGCCUCUCUGCUUAUGCACCUGCCGCCCCCUCGCACUCUCUGCCACUGCGGUUGCAGUUCCGGCCCGUCCCUCUUCUGCAGGCCAGCCCAGCGGGCAGCCUCGGUUCCUGACUCCUGGUCUGUGCUUGUGGGCGGCCUGAACCACCUCAAUCCGGACAAUUGCCAAACCCACCCUGGGCUGUAGCUGGGAACCGGUUGUGGCUCCUGCCAGUCUAGACCCCGGGGAACAAUUUAUGCACGUGACCCAGCCACCUAAGACUCUCCUGGCCCAGGUCUGUGGCUGGUAUUCCCAUUGGCUUACUGUUCUGUCUCACUGGGGGCACCCCUACCCUAUACUGUAGAAUUCUUGGAAUGACAGAGCACUUGGGAAGACCCAGCUCACAUGUCAAGAUGUCGCAGAGCACUGUGUUGGACAUGACCAUUCUUUCCAUCCUUGUUGGCUGAAAAUCCGCCCUUAUUUUCAUCCACCGAGCCCCUGAACAGCUUUCCACACAGCUCUUAUGGUGAUGACACAGCAGAAAACAUGGCGAGGCUUCUGCAGUGGCUGCAGAAAAGCCUGUCCCUGGAGCGACCUGGCCGGUCGCGCAAAGAGCUAGCUUCUUAUCAAAGACCUUCCCAACACAGAGAUGGGUUCCCAAGACACCCUGCCAUUUUCAAGGUCAAUCUUGCAGGCCCAAGGACAAAACCGAAGGGAUGCAAAAAUGAGCUUUUUCUCAUUAAUCCCACUUGCAAGACUGAAGAAAACCUUAAAAUACCCAAAAUUCAGGGGAGACAUAGCAACUGAGUCUCAUGGAGUCCACAGGGGCUGCCGACCCACUGUGUCAAGGACAACUGUGAGAGCAGCUUGUUGAGAAAGAAGUCACUCUGCUUUGCCCCUGCAGCGUUUAUUUUGGAAAAAACCCAAGUUUGUGGUUGGGCCUAUAUGGUGGAGGUGGCCGCAACCAAGAGAAAACGAUAUAUAGAGAAUGGUGUUGGCUUUGUUCUGGCAAAACAGAGAUUCAGACAAAGGCCAGAAGAUAAUGGUGGUGCUCCUGAAUAGAGGUCCCCUGGUUCAAACGUCCAUCUACUGGAACAAGGUCAAUGAUCCUCCAGGGACUCUCAACUCCCUAUCUACGCACUCUCUACAGCAAAACAUCCUGUGCUUGGGAAAGUCUGAGCUGAACCCAGCUCCUGUGGCUUCUGCUCAAUCUUAGUUCCUUGUUUGCAAGAAUGAGAGGCAAACAGCAAGCCUUGUGCAUCUUUGUAUAGAUAGAAAACAACCCUCCCAACCCCCCAUUUUACAGUAUUUGGGUUUGGCUUUUUUUCUCUUUCUUUUCUCUUCUCUUUCUUCUCUUCUCUUCUCUUCUCUUCUCUUCUCUUCUCUUCUCUUCUCUUCUCUUCUCUUCUCUUCUCCUCUCCUCUCCUCUCCUCUCCUCUCCUCUCCUCUCUUCCUCUUCCUCUUCCUCUUCCUCUUCCUCUUCCUCUUCCUCUUCCUCUUCCUCUUCCUCUUCCUCUUCCUCUUCCUCUCCUCUCCCUCUCCUCUCCCUCUCCUCUCUGUGGGAAGCCAACUCCAAGAUGGCGCCGGUUUCCGGUUGCCGUUGUCAUAAACAACACCACUGCGCAGGCGUCAAUUCGAAUUUGGGGCCAACCCCUCCCAAGCGGGUGCAUGCAAAUUGGGUGCUGGCAGACUGACCAACCCCAGGGGGCCACGGAGCCUUCUCCUGUGCUGGGGUACAUAUAAGCAGGGCUCCCUGGGCGCCUGGGGUCCCCGUAGAAGCAUCAAGGCGAUCCUGCAAUAAAGGCUGUUGAGAAGAA
Molecule: long non-coding RNA, 2112 nt
Filed under: Mus musculus (house mouse)
Lineage: Eukaryota; Metazoa; Chordata; Mammalia; Rodentia; Muridae
Description: predicted gene, 32391
Source: RNAcentral